This 2905-nucleotide ribosomal RNA is filed under the name Yersinia pestis. RNAcentral describes it as "bacterial LSU rRNA". It matches the Rfam family "Bacterial large subunit ribosomal RNA". RNAcentral also lists the same sequence under 2 other names. The record is from RNAcentral. Lineage: Bacteria; Pseudomonadati; Pseudomonadota; Gammaproteobacteria; Enterobacterales; Yersiniaceae.
UUAAGCGACUAAGCGUACACGGUGGAUGCCUAGGCAGUCAGAGGCGAUGAAGGGCGUGCUAAUCUGCGAAAAGCGUCGGUAAGCUGAUAUGAAGCGUUAUAACCGACGAUACCCGAAUGGGGAAACCCAGUGCAAUACGUUGCACUAUCGUUAGAUGAAUACAUAGUCUAACGAGGCGAACCGGGGGAACUGAAACAUCUAAGUACCCCGAGGAAAAGAAAUCAACCGAGAUUCCCCCAGUAGCGGCGAGCGAACGGGGAGGAGCCCAGAGUCUGAAUCAGUUUGUGUGUUAGUGGAAGCGUCUGGAAAGUCGCACGGUACAGGGUGAUAGUCCCGUACACCAAAAUGCACAGGCUGUGAACUCGAUGAGUAGGGCGGGACACGUGACAUCCUGUCUGAAUAUGGGGGGACCAUCCUCCAAGGCUAAAUACUCCUGACUGACCGAUAGUGAACCAGUACCGUGAGGGAAAGGCGAAAAGAACCCCGGCGAGGGGAGUGAAAUAGAACCUGAAACCGUGUACGUACAAGCAGUGGGAGCACCUUCGUGGUGUGACUGCGUACCUUUUGUAUAAUGGGUCAGCGACUUAUAUUUUGUAGCAAGGUUAACCGAAUAGGGGAGCCGUAGGGAAACCGAGUCUUAACUGGGCGUCUAGUUGCAAGGUAUAGACCCGAAACCCGGUGAUCUAGCCAUGGGCAGGUUGAAGGUUGGGUAACACUAACUGGAGGACCGAACCGACUAAUGUUGAAAAAUUAGCGGAUGACUUGUGGCUGGGGGUGAAAGGCCAAUCAAACCGGGAGAUAGCUGGUUCUCCCCGAAAGCUAUUUAGGUAGCGCCUCGUGAACUCAUCUUCGGGGGUAGAGCACUGUUUCGGCUAGGGGGCCAUCCCGGCUUACCAAACCGAUGCAAACUCCGAAUACCGAAGAAUGUUAUCACGGGAGACACACGGCGGGUGCUAACGUCCGUCGUGAAGAGGGAAACAACCCAGACCGCCAGCUAAGGUCCCAAAGUCAUGGUUAAGUGGGAAACGAUGUGGGAAGGCACAGACAGCCAGGAUGUUGGCUUAGAAGCAGCCAUCAUUUAAAGAAAGCGUAAUAGCUCACUGGUCGAGUCGGCCUGCGCGGAAGAUGUAACGGGGCUAAACCAUGCACCGAAGCUGCGGCAGCGACACUUAGGUGUUGUUGGGUAGGGGAGCGUUCUGUAAGCCGUUGAAGGUGACCUGUGAGGGUUGCUGGAGGUAUCAGAAGUGCGAAUGCUGACAUAAGUAACGAUAAUGCGGGUGAAAAACCCGCACGCCGGAAGACCAAGGGUUCCUGUCCAACGUUAAUCGGGGCAGGGUGAGUCGACCCCUAAGGCGAGGCUGAAAAGCGUAGUCGAUGGGAAACAGGUUAAUAUUCCUGUACUUGGUGUUACUGCGAAGGGGGGACGGAGAAGGCUAGGCUGGCCGGGCGACGGUUGUCCCGGUUUAAGCGUGUAGGGGGAGUGACCAGGUAAAUCCGGUUGCUUAUCAACCCUGAGGCGUGAUGACGAUGCACCACGGUGCAGAAGCAGUUGAUGCCAUGCUUCCAGGAAAAGCCUCUAAGCAUCAGGUAACAUUAAAUCGUACCCCAAACCGACACAGGUGGUCAGGUAGAGAAUACUCAGGCGCUUGAGAGAACUCGGGUGAAGGAACUAGGCAAAAUGGUGCCGUAACUUCGGGAGAAGGCACGCUGGCGUUAGGUGAAAGGACUAGCUCCUGGAGCUGAAGCCAGUCGCAGAUACCAGCUGGCUGCAACUGUUUAAUAAAAACACAGCACUGUGCAAACACGAAAGUGGACGUAUACAGUGUGACGCCUGCCCGGUGCUGGAAGGUUAAUUGAUGGGGUCAGCCGCAAGGCGAAGCUCUUGAUCGAAGCCCCAGUAAACGGCGGCCGUAACUAUAACGGUCCUAAGGUAGCGAAAUUCCUUGUCGGGUAAGUUCCGACCUGCACGAAUGGCGUAAUGAUGGCCAGGCUGUCUCCACCCGAGACUCAGUGAAAUUGAACUCGCUGUGAAGAUGCAGUGUACCCGCGGCAAGACGGAAAGACCCCGUGAACCUUUACUAUAGCUUGACACUGAACAUUGAGCCUUGAUGUGUAGGAUAGGUGGGAGGCCUUGAAGUGUGGACGCCAGUCUGCAUGGAGCCAACCUUGAAAUACCACCCUUUAAUGUUUGAUGUUCUAACUCGGCCCCAUGAUCUGGGGUGAGGACAGUGUCUGGUGGGUAGUUUGACUGGGGCGGUCUCCUCCCAAAGAGUAACGGAGGAGCACGAAGGUUAGCUAAUCACGGUCGGACAUCGUGAGGUUAGUGCAAAGGCAUAAGCUAGCUUGACUGCGAGAGUGACGGCUCGAGCAGGUACGAAAGUAGGUCUUAGUGAUCCGGUGGUUCUGAAUGGAAGGGCCAUCGCUCAACGGAUAAAAGGUACUCCGGGGAUAACAGGCUGAUACCGCCCAAGAGUUCAUAUCGACGGCGGUGUUUGGCACCUCGAUGUCGGCUCAUCACAUCCUGGGGCUGAAGUAGGUCCCAAGGGUAUGGCUGUUCGCCAUUUAAAGUGGUACGCGAGCUGGGUUUAGAACGUCGUGAGACAGUUCGGUCCCUAUCUGCCGUGGGCGUUGGAAGAUUGAGAGGGGCUGCUCCUAGUACGAGAGGACCGGAGUGGACGAAUCACUGGUGUUCGGGUUGUCAUGCCAAUGGCAUUGCCCGGUAGCUAAAUUCGGAAGAGAUAACCGCUGAAAGCAUCUAAGCGGGAAACUUGCCUCGAGAUGAGUCUUCCCUGGGGCUUAAAGCCCCCUGAAGGAACGUUAAAGACUAUGACGUUGAUAGGCUGGGUGUGUAAGUGCAGCGAUGUAUUGAGCUAACCAGUACUAAUGAUCCGUGAGGCUUAACCUU